UGGGGAAUAUUGGACAAUGGGCGCAAGCCUGAUCCAGCCAUGCCGCGUGAGUGAAGAAGGCCUUCGGGUUGUAAAGCUCUUUCGGCGGGGACGAAACGGUCCGUGACAACACCACGGACUAAUGACGGUACUCGCAGAAGAAGCACCGGCUAACUACGUGCCAGCAGCCGCGGUAAUACGUAGGGUGCAGGCGUUAAUCGGAAUUACUGGGCGUAAAGCGUGCGCAGGCGGCUCCUUAAGUCAGAUGUGAAAUCCCCGGGCUUAACCUGGGAACUGCGUUUGAAACUGAGGGGCUAGAGUGUGGAAGAGGGGGGUGGAAUUCCAGGUGUAGCAGUGAAAUGCGUAGAGAUCUGGAGGAACACCGAUGGCGAAGGCAGCCCCCUGGGCUAACACUGACGCUCAUGCACGAAAGCGUGGGGAGCAAACAGGAUUAGAUACCCAAGUAGUCCCUGAGCGGGCUGGCAAGGCG
RNAcentral lists this ribosomal RNA (469 nucleotides) under uncultured bacterium. Its description in RNAcentral is "bacterial SSU rRNA". It matches the Rfam family "Bacterial small subunit ribosomal RNA", at positions 355 to 822 of the family's 1533-position model. The record is from RNAcentral.